RNAcentral lists this ribosomal RNA (466 nucleotides) under uncultured bacterium. Its description in RNAcentral is "partial 16S ribosomal RNA". It matches the Rfam family "Bacterial small subunit ribosomal RNA", at positions 28 to 506 of the family's 1533-position model. The record is from RNAcentral.
GACGAACGCUGGCGGCGUGCUUAACACGUGCAAGUCGAACGGAAAGGCUCCAGCUUGCUGGAGUACUCGAGUGGCGAACGGGUGAGUAACACGUGGGUAAUCUGCCCUGCACUCUGGGAUAAGCCUGGGAAACUGGGUCUAGUACUGGAUAUGACCUUUCUCCUUAUGGGGUUUGGUGGAAAGUUUUUCGGUGUAGGAUGAGCCCGCGGCCUAUCAGCUUGUUGGUGGGGUGAUGGCCUACCAAGGCGACGACGGGUAGCCGGCCUGAGAGGGUGAUCGGCCACAUUGGGACUGAGAUACGGCCCAGACUCCUACGGGAGGCAGCAGUGGGGAAUAUUGCACAAUGGGCGGAAGCCUGAUGCAGCGACGCCGCGUGAGGGAUGACGGCCUUCGGGUUGUAAACCUCUUUCAGCAGGGACGAAGCGUAAGUGACGGUACCUGCAGAAGAAGCACCGGCUAACUAUGU